UAUGAUGAAUUGUUAUAUUGAAUAUUGUCUUCACAAGUCGAAUUUGAGAACUUAAAAUAUUGGUAUGAAUUCUGUUUUUAAAAUUAAAUGAAUUUGUUUAAAAAGAAAAAUGACUUCUUUGGUUGUUUUAUGAUUUUUAUCAACCUUUGAUUUUCUAUAUCGGUGUUAAGUAUUGACAUUCUCACUGGGCUACUGUAGCUCAUUCUUCUUAUUUAACUAUUUCAGAUCAUGAAAAUCAAGAUCCAGAUCCUAAAUAACAAGAAGGUUGCGACUAAAAAUUGCCUCCCACAUCCCAUCAGAGUUUCCCAGUGAAGGUUGACUUUAUAGGAUUCCCACAUCUCCUCAGAGCUACCAUACGAAGGUUGACCCCUUAGGAUUUUAGUUACGUUUUUAUUUCUGUUAUUUUAAUUCCCUAAAAUGGACAUUCCCGUAAGCCUUAUUGAACAUUUAGAUUUACUGUGCAAGGAAUGUAAACCCUAAACUCUCAGUUGCUUAUAUUAUUAUUCAAUAUUUC
This 514-nucleotide long non-coding RNA is filed under the name Carica papaya (papaya). RNAcentral's name for it is "long non-coding RNA (CPAP_LNC006558)". The record is from RNAcentral. Lineage: Eukaryota; Viridiplantae; Streptophyta; Magnoliopsida; Brassicales; Caricaceae.